CCCAGACUCCUACGGGAGGCAGCAGUGAGGAAUAUUGGUCAAUGGCCGGAAGGCUGAACCAGCCAUGCCGCGUGAAGGUCAGUGCCCUAUGGGCGUUAAACUUCUUUUGUGCGGGAGCAAUAAUGGUCACGUGUGGCCAGACGAGAGUACCGUACGAAUAAGCAUCGGCUAACUCCGUGCCAGCAGCCGCGGUAAUACGGGGGAUGCAAGCGUUAUCCGGAUUUAUUGGGUUUAAAGGGUGCGUAGGCUGUGAGGUAAGUCAGCGGUGAAAUGCCCCCGCUCAACGGGGUGAAGUGCCAUUGAUACUGCCUUGCUGGAAUGCGGAUGCCGUGGGAGGAAUGUGUGGUGUAGCGGUGAAAUGCAUAGAUAUCAGGAGGAACAUCGGUGGCGUAAGCGCUUUACUGGGCCGUAAUUGACGCUGAGGAACGAAAGCCAGGGUAGCAAAUGGGAUUAGAUACCCCAGUAUUC
RNAcentral lists this ribosomal RNA (468 nucleotides) under uncultured bacterium. RNAcentral's name for it is "bacterial SSU rRNA". It matches the Rfam family "Bacterial small subunit ribosomal RNA", at positions 330 to 795 of the family's 1533-position model. The record is from RNAcentral.